GAGGAGGCUGCCUGCAGCUGCAGCCGCGAGAGAUGGAUGUGCAGGAUCAGACACUGCCCAGCCCCUGAGCCAGGAUCCCUGUCUGUAUCUGCUGCAGCCCUGUAGACACCGGCAGGGGCAGCAGCAGCAGCAGCAGCAGCAGCAGCAGCGGAGAUUCAUCUGCUGAGAAGCUGCCACCAAGCUCAGGAUCUCGGGGGAGCUUUCCCCAGGAAGCUGUCCAGACUUCUGCAAUGGCUACCUCCUCCACCAAGGGCCACAACUGUCAGUCACCCGACUGGAGGCUGAAGCAGGGAGACACACUACACAACUUUCUUCCACUUAAGUUCUGGAGGUGGAACCCAGGCGCUCACAUCCUGGACAAGCAUUCUCUGUGGGAACACAAGCCCAGCCACCCACCUGGAACUCCAAACCAGAGUCUGCAAGCCUUCUGAAGGCAAUUAGACCAAAGAGUGACCAAGACUCUGCCCUUGUCCUUCCUUCCUCAGGCUUCCCAGGCUGCUCUACCUCCCUCAUAGACCCCUCUGCUCUCUACUGAUCUUCCCUGGAGUUCUGUCCUUAACUCUCUUAUUUAUGGAUACUAAAAUGUGAAUUUCACAUUUCCAUGUUUCAUGAAACAUUCUUGCUUUUAAAAAAAAAAUCAUUUAAAAAAA
This 650-nucleotide long non-coding RNA is filed under the name Mus musculus (house mouse). RNAcentral describes it as "predicted gene, 50335". Lineage: Eukaryota; Metazoa; Chordata; Mammalia; Rodentia; Muridae. The record is from RNAcentral.